CUUGGUCAUUUAGAGGAAGUAAAAGUCGUAACAAGGUUUCCGUAGGUGAACCUGCGGAAGGAUCAUUCAUAAUCAAGUGUUUUUAUGGCACUUUCAAAAAUCCAUAUCCACCUUGUGUGCAAUGUCAUCUCACUGGGGGCCACCGGCUGUCAAAAGCCGUCUGGUCACCUUUGGGAUUUAUAUCUACUCAGAACUUUAGUGAUUUUGUCUGAAACAUAUUAUGAAUACUUAAUUCAAAAUACAACUUUCAACAACGGAUCUCUUGGCUCUCGCAUCGAUGAAGAACGCAGCGAAAUGCGAUAAGUAGUGUGAAUUGCAGAAUUCAGUGAAUCAUCGAAUCUUUGAACGCACAUUGCGCCUCCUGGUAUUCCGGGAGGCAUGCCUGUUCGAGCGUCAUUAAAAACCACUCAAGCUCUUUUGCUUGGUCAUGGAAGAUGAGUGAGCUUGUCUCUCUCCCUUUCGAAAUUCAAAGGCGGAAAGCCCCAUGUGCACCGGCGUAGUAAGUUUUCUUUCGCUUUGGCCAUGAGGUGAUCCUGCCCCAAACCCCCAAUUUUUCUAGGUUGACCUCGGAUCAGGUAGGGAUACCCGCUGAACUUAAGCAUAUCAAUAAGCGGAGGA
RNAcentral lists this unclassified non-coding RNA (618 nucleotides) under uncultured fungus. RNAcentral describes it as "sequence contains ITS1, 5.8S rRNA gene and ITS2". The stretch from base 243 to 396 matches the Rfam family "5.8S ribosomal RNA". The record is from RNAcentral. Lineage: Eukaryota; Fungi.